RNAcentral lists this ribosomal RNA (451 nucleotides) under uncultured bacterium. RNAcentral describes it as "partial 16S ribosomal RNA". It matches the Rfam family "Bacterial small subunit ribosomal RNA", at positions 29 to 523 of the family's 1533-position model. The record is from RNAcentral.
AACGAACGCUGGCGGCAGGCCUAACACAUGCAAGUCGAGCGGGCGCUUUCGGGCGCUAGCGGCGGACGGGUUAGUAACACGUGGGAACGUACCUUUUGCUACGGAAUAGCCUCGGGAAACUGGGAGUAAUACCGUAUGUGCCCUUUUGGGGAAAGAUUUAUCGGCAAGAGAUCGGCCCGCGUCUGAUUAGGUAGUUGGUGAGGUAAUGGCUCACCAAGCCUACGAUCAGUAGCUGGUUUGAGAGGAUGAUCAGCAACACUGGGACUGAGACAAGGCCCCGACUCCUACGGGAGGCAGCAGUGGGGAAUCUUAGACCAUGGGCGCAAGCCUGAUCUAGCCAUGCCGCGUGAGUGAUGAAGGCCUUAGGGUCGUAAAGCUCUUUCGCUGGGGAAGAUAAUGACUGUACCCAGUAAAGAAACCCCGGCUAACUCCGUGCCAGCAGCCGCAGUAA